This 635-nucleotide long non-coding RNA is filed under the name Lynx pardinus (Iberian lynx). Lineage: Eukaryota; Metazoa; Chordata; Mammalia; Carnivora; Felidae. The record is from RNAcentral.
CCCGAGAGACUCUACAUCCACAGACUGUUUCAUUUUCCUUUUUCAAUUUAUAUAGACGCGUAGAUUCUUGCUGGCGUGUAUAAAUGUGCCAUUUAAGGCAAUCAAAAAUGGCUCCACAUUUCACUUGAUUUCCACAAUUGUUGCCGUAACGAUGGACUACUGAGGAGAGAAACUUAAUUUCCCUGACAGAUCUCCCCACAUUGAAGCAACAUGUUCGUGGAAAGCCAAUACGCAGUAAUUACAGCACAAUUCCUUACAAUUUCACAAUUCACUAACAGUAUGCAUUUUCACAAUGUAAAGCUGAUUUUCCUUUAACCAAAUAAAACAUGAAAAGAGGGCUGGAAGCAAUGGGCAAUCUAUAUCAUUAGAUGAUUGAUGUAAAAAUAAAGAACAUUGAGACUGGAAUAGAUUGCAAACAUCAGGGAGCUCAGAAAACUUGUAAGCUCUGUAUCUUGAGGAAAUAUUUUGUUGAUGCUCUUGCAGCUUUGGUAGCAACCUACCAAUUAAAAAAAAAGGCUCAAAAUAAUUUACCUACUACUUACAGAAGUAAGCUACCAUUUGCAAUUAUUUCACAUCACACAUUCUUUUCUCCCAAGUUCUUAACGUGUCCACUAGAACAGAAUUUCCUGUUCUAA